RNAcentral lists this small RNA (2655 nucleotides) under Pan troglodytes (chimpanzee). RNAcentral describes it as "retained intron". Lineage: Eukaryota; Metazoa; Chordata; Mammalia; Primates; Hominidae. The record is from RNAcentral.
UGAAGUGGUGCAAAGUACAUUUAUUUUUACAAUGAAAGCUCAUCUAUGAAUCUGAUAAAGGCCUUCCUUUAACUGGAGACAAUUUGGGAUGUUGCAAAACAAGGUUUGGGAAGCCCUUCUAUGGAUCGGUUUUGUCUCCAAGUCUGUCCCUGCCAAAAGCCAUCAAAAGUCUCCAUCACCCCUGGGCUCCAGUCUGCUACCCCCAGACUUGGCAGCUGGGAUCUCUCCUUCCUGGUUCAUAGUUCUCAUUCCCACCCCUCAGCGAUGGAGUUAGAGUUCCAGGCCCACGUGGUGAACGAGAUUGUGAGUGUCAAGAGGGAAUACGUAGUUUAUGAUCUGAAGACCCAAGUCCCACCCCAGCAGCUGGUGCCCUGCUUCCAGGUGACGGUGAGUCAAGUCGGGAGGAGGCCGACAGAGGGCUGCUGGAGGCGGGUGGGAGUGAGGAUGCACGGCCAGAGGCCAGGCCCCAUGCCCCCGAUGCCCACCUCCUUCCCCCCCGCCGGGAAGGCCCUGACUUUUCCCCUUCCAGCUGAGGCUGAAGAACACGGCGCUCAAGUCCAUCAUCGCUCUCUUGGUGCCUGCAGAGGCACUGCUGUUGGCUGACGUGUGCGGGGGGUUGCUGCCCCUCCGGGCCAUUGAGCGCAUAGGCUACAAGGUGACAUUGCUGCUGAGUUACCUCGUCCUCCACUCCUCCCUGGUGCAGGCCCUGCCCAGCUCCUCCUCCUGCAACCCACUGCUCAGUAAGCCCUGCUCCCUUACCCAGCCUGCCCUGUUUCUCCCCGGUCACCCACUGGUGCUCAGCUCGCUGGGCACCAGAGACACAGGGACUGGCCCCUGAGCAUCUCCCUGUGCCCUGCCUCCCCCAGUUUACUACUUCACCAUCCUGCUGCUGCUGCUCUUCCUCAGCACCAUAGAGACUGUGCUGCUGGCUGGGCUGCUGGCCCGGGGCAACCUUGGGGCCAAGAGCGGCCCCAGCCCAGCCCCGAGAGGGGAACAGCGAGAGCACGGCAACCCAGGGCCUCAUCCUGCUGAAGGUGGGCAGGGGCUGGGGGGUAAGGAAUGAGGCCUAGGUGCACACCUAGGGCUGGGGUGAGGGCCCGGAGGUCCAGGUGUGCGUAGAGGCCCCUUGCAUCCACCCUGCUGGCUCUCCUGUCCCUGGUCUCCACCAUGUCCUCCUCCCUUAGAAGAAACAGGUCUGGGGCAGGGAGCAAGCUUAGCCUCCCUGAAGUCCCAGGUGACCUCAAUCCCCUGAUAACCCAUGCCUUGCACAGCCUAAGAGGGUGUUUCUUCAACUGAAGAUGGCCUGAAAUGGGCCAGACCCAAAUUUUCAUCAGCUGAGAAUCUAAGAAAGGAAGCGAUACAGGCUGAUGACCCCUGGGGUUCACUCUUCCGCUCAUGUUGAGGGGACCUUGAAGAACAGCUCCUUUCCCUGUAUCUCUCCCCACAGAGCCCCCCAGAGGAGUAAAGGGGUCACAGAGAAGCUGGCCUGAGACUGCUGACCGCAUCUUCUUCCUCGUGUAUGUGGUUGGGGUGCUGUGCACCCAAUUCGUCUUUGCAGGAAUCUGGAUGUGGGCAGCAUGCAAGUCUGACGCAGCCCCUGGAGAGGCUGCACCCCAUGGCAGGCGGCCUAGACUGUAAAGGGGCAGGGCCUGGCCUGCACACCUUAGGAUGAAGUUUGCUUUCCCAUGGCUGGGGGCGGGCCAUGACAGGGCCUCUGGAUUAAGCCACCCUGAGCUCUCCCUCCGCUAGCACACAAGCACAGAGCGUGAAAUAAACCCAUCUCCAGUGCAAGUGUGCCUCAAGGGUCAGUCUUCAAUCUCGUCCUAAAUAGGUGGGGCCCUAUUUUUUGCUUCCAACCCCCAUUUUGCUCCUUAACUUUUCCCCAUUGUCCCUGUCUCCCAGCCCACAGGCAGGCAGCCUAAUUGCUCCUUCUGCAACCACGACUGCCUGGCCCUGGGCCAAGAGGCACUGAGGCUGGGGACCAGAGACAGGGGCCUGAGGAAGGCUGUAGAGGGUGGGGCGGAACUCCUCCCCCGAACGCCUCCUGCAGUGUGCUGGACUCUAGGGAAAAUGGCCAGUGAGCCUGCCUCCCCCAGCCACCUAGGGGACUCCUGGGAGGGAAAGGUCCCAGACCUCAGGCCUGUGGGCGGGCGGGAAUGUGUUUUAAGGGAGGGGGUCAGUCCCGACUGCCUUUCCUCCAGGAGCUCUGGCUGCUUCUCUGAGCCCUGCCACAUCUCUGGGCUGUAGGGGAGUUCUCUGUCCCCACCUCUGACCUAGGCUGGAGGGAGGGCCCUUCUGCCCUGCUGCUCUUGGUACACAUGGAGCAGCAGUGGGCACAGGCCUCUGUCUUCCUUCUCUCUUUUCCUGUUUCAGAAGCCAUCAGGGUCAUAAAAGCCAAGGUGUGAAGGGACCCCAGGCUUCCGGGAGAGUGCUGGUUCGGCUGGGAACACGGGCUGUGGGGAAAAAGCGGAAACCAGGACUAGAGGGCUCAGGGACACAGCUCCUGGAUGGGGUGGUGGAGACAGGUCUCUGUCCCAAAGGACUUCAAGCUCACCCAGCCCAGAGGCAAGUUAACACUGGUUUAUCUGUCCAAUGACACGCCAGUCUGGUGGAACCAGGCAGGGCUAGCAGCAGGCUCAGGCAGAGGUGUCGAAA